Molecule: long non-coding RNA, 1307 nt
Filed under: Nicotiana benthamiana
Lineage: Eukaryota; Viridiplantae; Streptophyta; Magnoliopsida; Solanales; Solanaceae
Description: long non-coding RNA (NBEN_LNC009817)
Source: RNAcentral
UUAGCUGCAAUUAGUAAAGUAGAAAAAUAAAUUAGCCUUCCCAUUUGCCAACUGCCAACUUCUACUCUUUGUCUUGUCUCAUAGUCUUUCCUUUCUUUGGUCAACCGUCCCAAACACGAGUCCCAUUUUUUGUCUAAUACUUUUCAUCAACCAUUUGGACUAUCCAAAGAAAAAAAGCGAAAAAGCUAGACUAUUCCAUGAAAUAAUGUUGCACUAUUCGACAAUAUAAAGGAGAAGUUAGGCAUCCGACGGUGACAAAGCUAACCAGGAAACCAGACAGCAUAUAAAGAAAUUGAUUGCAUGUAACCCCUUUUUCCUUUUUAUCUCUUUCAUUUCAUUAUUUAAAACCACAGAUCCAUUAUCCCCCAAACCCCCCGGUCUUGGUAAUUCUUUCUGCUUUAAAGAUAAUGUAAUGACAUUUUGACACUACCAAAAUAAUUUAAUGUGUUAUAGAAGAUUAUAGACCUUAUAUGUCAAGUUACUAUUUAUGACAUGAUAGCAUGAAAAAUGUUAUACUAUUGUCUGUAUAUAGAAGUUAAAAAAUUCUUUUUUCCUAUGCUUGUGAAUUGGUUUAGCCCACUAUAACUGAUAAAUAGACAUAAAGCAAUUAAUCUAUUUCUGCUAUGUUUCAUUUUACAUAACAACUUUUUGAUUUAGUUGGUUUAAAAAAGGAAUGAUACCUUAUUAUAUUUAGAAACUAUUUCUAUCUUGAAUUUAUAUUUUAUCCUUAACAAGAUACUCAUAUAUAUAACCAAUCACAUAAAUAUCGAUCAUGAAAAUAAUUAAGAUCAUAAGUUCUAACCGUACUUUUGCUAUAAGGUUUUAGCUUCUUUCUUAACUAGUCUUACACAGUACUAGUUAACAUUUGUCACCCUUUUUUCUUUUGCCAUGGGCAAAUAAAGCUAGCUAUGCCUUUUUAACAAAUCAUAAUUGAUUGCCACAAUUUGAUCUAUUUAGGAAGACUCUAAAAUGAGACUACUUGUUUCUGCAACAGAGAGGGAAUGGUUAUGCUCGCCUUCGUACGUAACAAUCAGCAUGGUUGGUUCAUCCAGAGCUCUCUCUACAUGUUUGCGUGCUGGACAACCUCUCACACUGCUACAUUUAUAGUAUGCCCUGCCAUUAUUUAGCAACACAAAACAAAAGCAAAAAUAGUUUAGUCUCAAAUACGUACAUUAAUAAUGUAUGGUAAGAAUUUUUAUACAAUUAAGUCACUUUAAUUGUAGUUCCGGAUAAUUAUCUAUCAUGAGUGAAUUUUGUAACUUGAAAACGAGACAAGUUACUAGUAUUAUGGAGUAUAUAAUAGGCAA